This 500-nucleotide ribosomal RNA is filed under the name uncultured Desulfobulbus sp. RNAcentral's name for it is "bacterial SSU rRNA". It matches the Rfam family "Bacterial small subunit ribosomal RNA", at positions 887 to 1382 of the family's 1533-position model. The record is from RNAcentral. Lineage: Bacteria; Pseudomonadati; Thermodesulfobacteriota; Desulfobulbia; Desulfobulbales; Desulfobulbaceae.
GCCCGCUCAGAAACUCAAAUGAAGUUGACGGGGCCCGCGCAAGCGGUGGAGUAUGUGGUUAAUUCGAUGCAACGCGAAGAACCUUACCUGGUCUUGACAUCCCGGAGACCCUUAGGAAACUAGGGGGUGCUUCCAUCUGGAAGAAUCUGGAGACAGGUGCUGCAUGGCUGUCGUCAGCUCGUGUCGUGAGAUGUUGGGUUAAGUCCCGCAACGAGCGCAACCCUUGCCUUUAGUUGCCAGCAGUUCGGCUGGGCACUCUAAAGGGACUGCCGGUGUUAAACCGGAGGAAGGUGGGGAUGACGUCAAGUCCUCAUGGCCUUUAUGACCAGGGCUACACACGUACUACAAUGGCCGAUACAAAGGGCAGCGACACUGCGAGGUGAAGCCAAUCCCGUAAAAUCGGUCUCAGUCCGGAUUGGAGUCUGCAACUCGACUCCAUGAAGUUGGAAUCGCUAGUAAUCGUGGAUCAGCAUGCCACGGUGAAUACGUUCCCGGGCCUU